UACAGAGGGUGCAAGCGUUGUUCGGAAUUAUUGGGCGUAAAGCGCGUGUAGGCGGCUUGGCAAGUCGGGUGUGAAAGCCCUCAGCUCAACUGAGGAAGUGCGCCCGAAACUGCUUGGCUUGAGUACCGGAGAGGAUGGUGGAAUUCCCGAAGUAGAGGUGAAAUUCGUAGAUAUCGGGAGGAACACCGGUGGCGAAGGCGACCAUCUGGACGGAUACUGACGCUGAGACGCGAAAGCGUGGGUAGCAAACAGG
Molecule: ribosomal RNA, 253 nt
Filed under: uncultured bacterium
Lineage: Bacteria
Description: partial 16S ribosomal RNA
Rfam family: Bacterial small subunit ribosomal RNA
Source: RNAcentral